AAGUCGUAACAAGGUUUCCGUAGGUGAACCUGCGGAAGGAUCAUUAUUACGAGAUCAAAAAUCGUAACACCCAAACAAAUUGUGCAUUCUGUACCUCCCGGUAGCAUUUGACCUUUGGAAAUGAAGGCUUCUUUGAUGUGCAGCUUCUGUAUGUCAAAGCACUUCUGAGCAGAUGAAGUGAAACACUUUCACGUGUUUGGUCUUUGUCAAAUGUUUUUCAACUACCGGUUAUCUAAAUCUGCUCAUUUUCUAAAUUAAACCAUUAACCCCAUGUAACUAUUUUGAACUAAAUAACAUCUGCUUGUCGCAGCUUACUUACUUACUUACUAAGCUAAGCGAAGCUUGCCCCAAGCUGAAUCAAAAAACCGAACUUAAGAACAACUCUUAGCAAUGGAUAUCUUGGUUCUC
This 408-nucleotide unclassified non-coding RNA is filed under the name fungal sp. Its description in RNAcentral is "partial internal transcribed spacer region". The stretch from base 1 to 46 matches the Rfam family "Eukaryotic small subunit ribosomal RNA", at positions 1786 to 1831 of the family's 1831-position model. Lineage: Eukaryota; Fungi. The record is from RNAcentral.